ACUUAAAUAGCUUAAAUAGAGCAUGAUAUUGAAGAUAUCAAGGUAAUAAUUUAUUUUUAAGUA
RNAcentral lists this transfer RNA (63 nucleotides) under Histeroidea sp. 5 KM-2017. RNAcentral's name for it is "tRNA-Phe". The record is from RNAcentral. Lineage: Eukaryota; Metazoa; Arthropoda; Insecta; Coleoptera.